GCGCCCAUAGCUCAGUUGGAUAGAGUGUCUGACUACGAAUCAGGAGGUCCGAGGUUCGAAUCCUCGUGGGCGCA
This 74-nucleotide transfer RNA is filed under the name Candidatus Hydrogenedentota bacterium. RNAcentral describes it as "Candidatus Hydrogenedentes bacterium tRNA-Arg". It matches the Rfam family "tRNA". From Rfam's summary of the family: Transfer RNA (tRNA) molecules are approximately 80 nucleotides in length. Their secondary structure includes four short double-helical elements and three loops (D, anti-codon, and T loops). Further hydrogen bonds mediate the characteristic L-shaped molecular structure. tRNAs have two regions of fundamental functional importance: the anti-codon, which is responsible for specific mRNA codon recognition, and the 3' end, to which the tRNAs corresponding amino acid is attached (by aminoacyl-tRNA synthetases). tRNAs cope with the degeneracy of the genetic code in two manners: having more than one tRNA (with a specific anti-codon) for a particular amino acid; and 'wobble' base-pairing, i.e. permitting non-standard base-pairing at the 3rd anti-codon position. Lineage: Bacteria; Pseudomonadati; Candidatus Hydrogenedentota. The record is from RNAcentral.